Non-coding RNA from Mycena latifolia, 96 nucleotides. The record is from the annotation of a GenBank genome assembly. NCBI's taxonomy places the organism in Eukaryota, Fungi, Basidiomycota, Agaricomycetes, Agaricales, Mycenaceae.
GGCCUGAUAGCACAAUGGUUAGUGCAUCUGCUCUGAUUAUGGGUUUUACCGAGGCAUUUAGGCAGAAGGUCCCUCGUUCGAUUCGGGGUCAGGUCA